Molecule: long non-coding RNA, 1396 nt
Organism: Papaver somniferum (opium poppy)
Lineage: Eukaryota; Viridiplantae; Streptophyta; Magnoliopsida; Ranunculales; Papaveraceae
Exons: 3
Source: RefSeq, a predicted model, not a curated record
GGCAAGAUUUAGGAGAAAAAUAUCAUAUAAGACAAUUACACAAGCCUCGUCUUUAAGCAAGACACGGCGAAGAAUGAUCAUACGAACACAAAUGAAGCGCGAGCAAGAGACCACACAAUAAAGAUGAACCAUCAAUAGAAGCGCGAAGAAUCAACUAGUAGCCCGACAUACAACGACAGCUUCUAAAUCCUGGCGUAUAAUAAGAUAGACCGAAAUAAAAUCAGGUUGAUCGGAGUUAGACUACAUUUUUGUAGGUUGAUGACCAAGCACGAAUGCUUCUUAAUUUUGCUCAUAACCCACCGAGAAGCUCUUAGAAUUCUCCAAACAGCGGAAUUGUAGUGGCAACUAAGGAUUGGGCGUCUACUUCAUUUUCCAGAACGGAUGUAGUAUUUUCAAGUUGCUCCCUCAUUAUAAGAUGGCCGGGAUGGGUCUGAAAAUGGCCAAGAGUUUCUUGAAUCUAGAUAUGUGACGGGUGAUUCUAAUUCAAUUGUUUGACUCGUUUUUUUCUGGUUAUUAUUAUUUAAUGGGAUGGAUGAUUACAGAAUUCGAACCCUCAUCUCCGUUAUGGUUGGCAUACCAAUAUCGGAUUUUUGAAAUUCUUAAAAACUGCCAAAAUCUCAUUUGUGGGUCCCACAGUCAAGAUAGAAAACUCUGGUUGCCUCUCAAUAACCUCAUCAUCAUCCUAUAAAAUCUACUCAGUCUUGUCUUAACCCCGCCAUUGAAAGGGAUUUGAAUCCAAUCUAUCUGUUUUCUGUUCAAAUAUGACUGACGACUCAAGCAACCAGCAAUACUUUGGCCACAUUUGGCAGUGCCUAAGUCGAAUAUCAACCGAGUUUUCACAAUCUUCGGUGACCCGAGAAAAACUGGUCUUGAAUUCAUUCAGAGCGUAUGUGAAUGGAUUACCUUUAACUUACUUCUUAAUUCAUCAACUCUCAUUUCCGAAUUCCAAAAUUCCUACAGAGAUUUUCAUUUUAAACUCUUGUUUCAGUGAUUUGUAUUUGGAAUGGCUGUUGGCAAUUUCAUUUGUAGCCGGGAUUUCUAAACUACCGUUGGAAUUUUGCAGAGGCAAAAUCUGCAAUGGAGGGUAGUUAAUCCGGUUAUGUUAGUAGUGGAUGAGAGUUGCCAUACAUGGUACACUCAACUGCAACAUAGCAGAAUCGAUUCCAUCAAAUGGCAUGUUUUCAUCGGAGGCCGGCCGCCGUCUUCAAGUUUCGGCACUAGAGAUGGUAAGUGGAAGUCCUAGUACAUUUCACUUGUACCGCUAAUUUCUACCAUACCAAAUGUUUUCCAUCUUGUAAUAUUUUUUAAAUUUUGCAGUAUUAAGCAGUGAACAUCUGAAAAAGCCUUUGGAAAAGUCCCAAUCAAUGUACUACUGGAAAACCAUAGGGGGUUGCCA